RNAcentral lists this unclassified non-coding RNA (1104 nucleotides) under uncultured fungus. RNAcentral describes it as "sequence contains 18S rRNA gene, ITS1, 5.8S rRNA gene, ITS2, 28S rRNA gene". Lineage: Eukaryota; Fungi. The record is from RNAcentral.
ACCAAUCGAUGUCGUGCGAGCGACAAUGCUACUUCGGGCGAGAUCGCUGGCUCGUGGGCAUUCAUCUGUACGCUCCGCCGUGAUCGAACAACUGAUCGCAUUUCUGAACCACGGUAUCACCCCCGUCGUACCGGCGCUUGGAAGUGUCUCGGCUAGUGGCGACUUGGCGCCCCUGUCGCACAUUGCCCUCGCGCUCAUCGGAGAAGGCGAUGUGUUCGUGCGUGACAACUAUGGCAGCAGGCGCAUUAGUGCGUCCGCUGCGAUCAGCGACGCCGGCUUGGAACCGCUAGAACUUGAGAUGAAAGAGGGUCUCGCUCUCAAUAAUGGGAGCCAGUAUUCUCUUGCAUGGUCCGUUCUGGCUGCAGAAAAGAUGAAAAGAAAUCUAGAUGCUGCGCUUCUAGCCACGGCGCUCACAUCGCAGGUCAUGUUUGGAGCCGAUACGCCAUAUAAGAGAGAACUUCAUAAGCUAAGACCGCAUCCUGGCUCCCAAUUGGUGGCGAAGAUUCUUUGUGACCUUAUUGAAGGUUCUCCAAUACGUGAGUUUCACAGAGACUUCGACGUCGAUGGCGAGGUUCAAGAUGUGUACAAUCUUCGGUGUGCCGCGCAGAUAUUGGGUCCAUGCUGGCAAUUGUUGAAGCGAGCAAUCGAGACAUUCGAAAUUGAGUCAAACAGCGUCACAGACAACCCGAUCGACAUCAGUGAGAUAUCUGACCAACCGAGUAUCGAAGCAAUCACUUCCGGAGGCCAUUUUCACGGCAUGCCCGUUGCGGUCGACGCCUACGGCUUGAUUCAGGCAGCGGCGAUUAUGGCAAGACUUUCCAACAUGAGGUGUGCUCGAUACGUUGAUCCAGCUCGCAACAAGGGCCUUGGCCCACAGUUGAAAUGGCCAGGCGAAGGAUCCGUUGAUACGGUUCACUUUGCUGGACAAAAGACGGAGCGAGAUUUGGCGACCGAAUCCGGCCUCAUGAUUGCCGAGUACACCACCGCAGGCCUGACAAACUGGAUUUGGGGGCAGUCGAUGCCCUCACAUCUAAUGUCCAUUUCGACGGACUCUGGACAAGAAGAUCAUGUCAGCAUGGCGUCAAACGUAGCUAUGCGCUCGUU